RNAcentral lists this long non-coding RNA (385 nucleotides) under Sorghum bicolor (sorghum). RNAcentral's name for it is "long non-coding RNA (SBIC_LNC011977)". Lineage: Eukaryota; Viridiplantae; Streptophyta; Magnoliopsida; Poales; Poaceae. The record is from RNAcentral.
ACGGCAUAACAUGUUCGGGAUCAAGAGGACACGUACAGUACUAGUCAUAUUCCAUGUAGUCAAACAAAGAUACAUAGGGGUGGCAGAGCAUCUUCGACAGUUUACUAUCUAGCUUUUUCAUCUUUAAUUUUUUAACAAAAUAAAAAAAACUCAAAUAGUUUAGCAUUUUGUGUCUCUAUCUUUUCCAACCUUGCAAAAAAUUAUCUCGAGCGCAUAUAUAUGCGCGCGGCUAGGAGCGCGUAUCCGGAGUUUUUCGGCCCAUCUAGUAAGCAAGAAGAAAGACAAGGUUCUAGGCAAAAAAACGCAAGAGAGAAAGAUUUGGUGGAAGAGUUUAAACGCGUACAAGAAUAAAUUCAGGUUCCUGAUACAAAACAUAAGACCGGUC